This 253-nucleotide ribosomal RNA is filed under the name uncultured bacterium. Its description in RNAcentral is "partial 16S ribosomal RNA". It matches the Rfam family "Bacterial small subunit ribosomal RNA", at positions 524 to 776 of the family's 1533-position model. The record is from RNAcentral.
CACGUAGGGCGCAAGCGUUGUCCGGAAUUAUUGGGCGUAAAGAGCUCGUAGGCGGUCUGUUGCGUCCGCUGUGAAAACUCGGGGCUUAACCCCGAGCCUGCAGUGGAUACGGGCAGACUAGAGGUAGGUAGGGGAGAAUGGAAUUCCCGGUGUAGCGGUGAAAUGCGUAGAGAUCUGGAAGAACACCAAAGGCGAAGGCAGCGUUCUGGGAAGUAUCUGACGCUCAUGUGCGAAAGCUAGGGGAGCGAACGGG